CGUAGGUGGCAAGCGUUGUCCGGAUUUAUUGGGCUUAAAGGGUGCGUAGGUGGCCUUGUAAGUCAGUGGUGAAAUAUCUCAGCUUAACUGAGAGGGUGCCAUUGAUACUGCAGGGCUUGAGUACAGAUGAGGUAGGCGGAAUUGACGGUGUAGCGGUGAAAUGCAUAGAUAUCGUCAAGAACACCGAUAGCGAAGGCAGCUUACCAAGCUGUAACUGACACUGAGGCACGAAAGUGUGGGGAUCAAACAGGAUUAGAUACCCUGGUAGUCCACACUGUAAACGUUGAUGACUCGAUGUUGGCGAUACACAGCCAGCGUCCAAGAGCAAUCGUUAAGUCAUCCACCUGGGGAGUACGCCGGCAACGGUG
This 368-nucleotide ribosomal RNA is filed under the name uncultured organism. RNAcentral's name for it is "bacterial SSU rRNA". It matches the Rfam family "Bacterial small subunit ribosomal RNA", at positions 526 to 896 of the family's 1533-position model. The record is from RNAcentral.